RNAcentral lists this transfer RNA (86 nucleotides) under Clostridiales bacterium. RNAcentral's name for it is "tRNA-Ser". It matches the Rfam family "tRNA". From Rfam's summary of the family: Transfer RNA (tRNA) molecules are approximately 80 nucleotides in length. Their secondary structure includes four short double-helical elements and three loops (D, anti-codon, and T loops). Lineage: Bacteria; Bacillati; Bacillota; Clostridia; Eubacteriales. The record is from RNAcentral.
GGAGAAAUGGCUGAGUGGUUUAAAGCAGCAAUCUUGAAAAUUGCCGAGCUAAUACUCCGGAGGUCCGAAUCCUUCUUUCUCCGCCA